UUGGUAAUUAGUUUAAUCAAAACAA
This 25-nucleotide transfer RNA is filed under the name Peromyscus melanophrys (plateau mouse). RNAcentral describes it as "partial tRNA-Arg". RNAcentral also lists the same sequence under 1 other name. Lineage: Eukaryota; Metazoa; Chordata; Mammalia; Rodentia; Cricetidae. The record is from RNAcentral.